AUUGAACGCUGGCGGCAUGCUUUACACAUGCAAGUCGAACGGCAGCGCGGGCUUCUGCCUGGCGGCGAGUGGCGAACGGGUGAGUAAUGCAUCGGAACGUGCCCAGUAGUGGGGGAUAGCCCGGCGAAAGCCGGAUUAAUACCGCAUACGACCUGAGGGUGAAAGCGGGGGACCGAAAGGCCUCGCGCGAUUUGAGCGGCCGAUGUCGGAUUAGCUAGUUGGUGGGGUAAAGGCUUACCAAGGCGACGAUCCGUAGCUGGUCUGAGAGGACGACCAGCCACACUGGGACUGAGACACGGCCCAGACUCCUACGGGAGGCAGCAGUGGGGAAUUUUGGACAAUGGGGGCAACCCUGAUCCAGCCAUGCCGCGUGAGGGAAGAAGGCCUUCGGGUUGUAAACCGCUUUUGUUCGGGAAGAAAUCCUCUGGGCUAAUACCCCGGGGGGAUGACGGUACCGGAAGAAUAAGCACCGGCUAACUACGUG
RNAcentral lists this ribosomal RNA (484 nucleotides) under uncultured bacterium. RNAcentral describes it as "partial 16S ribosomal RNA". It matches the Rfam family "Bacterial small subunit ribosomal RNA", at positions 29 to 507 of the family's 1533-position model. The record is from RNAcentral.